Physeter macrocephalus (sperm whale) is the source of this 4270-nucleotide long non-coding RNA. RefSeq lists it as uncharacterized. The transcript has 3 exons. The record is from RefSeq and is a predicted model, not a curated record. Lineage: Eukaryota; Metazoa; Chordata; Mammalia; Artiodactyla; Physeteridae.
UGAAGGACGGAGGGAGACUCUCCUUGAGGGAAAAUGAGGCCGACAGGGGCCGAACAACUCGGCCUUCCAGCCAGCUAGAGGGGGUUGGACAAGGAUCCCAUUUAAUUCAGUUCGGUGUGCUUCAGGACAGGUCAGUAGCUCUUUGAGCACCUACUGUAUGCAGGUGCUCAAAUAUUGCGGAGCAAACAAAAAUGAACCGGACUCUUUGUUUGCAGGAACUUGCCCUCUGGCGGAGGAGACCCACCAAGACAAAGACACCUGCGGCUCAGGAUGGGUGUGAGAAAUUCACACAAGCAGGGCGGGGCCGGGGCAGGAGAGAGAAGGUCCUUCUGGCCUUUGUUCAAGGCGGACAGAGGCAGAAGUCUUGAAUGGGUAGUUUUCCACCGCUGACCCCCUCCAUGAUCUUUCUUUCAUGGCAUACAGCUGUUUGGUCUUAAAAAUCCGAUUUUUGGACUGAUACAGAUUCAGUGUUUGCUGAGCCUCUGGCUGCGAGCUGCUCUGUCUUGGCCACAUGCGGCCGCUCUGGGUUGGAGGAGGGACUGGAGUUCCCAGAUGUCCCUGAGGACGGAGACUGCGCAUGGGACAGGAUUCAGUGGACUUUCAUGUGUCCCGGCUCGUCCUCUGCAGGCCUGGGUGUUAGGGAGUCCGCAGGCCUCCGCGGGGACUGAGUCCUGACUCCGGAGCCCAGCCGCGGGGCGGGGGGUGGAGGGGAGCGCGGGUCCCACGGGGGCUUCCUCAGCGGGGUUAGUCCGUCCAUCCUCCUCUGGGCCCCUCGGACCCCCGUCCCCCAGGGGUCCUCCUCCUCGGAAGAAGACACCUGGCUUUCUGGACUCCCUCAGGGCCAGGUGCCCUCCUGCCGCCUUGCUUUAUAGCUGAGUCGUGGGGGGGACCCCAGCCUCCAUCCUCAGGCCCCUGCUGGUGGCUCCGACGUGGCCACAUCUGAUUUCAGUGCCCCUACAACCAAGCCCCUCAGUGCCCACUCCUGCCCGUCCUCCUGACUCCUCUUCCCAUUACUACCACCCCCCCAUCAUGUUGGUGAGACUCUCACCUGACCCCCCGUCCCCUCCUUUCUGCUGGUGUCUCUCAGCCCCACCCUCUGCCGUGUUCCUAGAGACCAUCCUUCAGAGGAGGGCCUGGGGCCAGAAGAGCAGCGGGGGCGGGGGGCGGGCAGGGUCCCAGGCUCCUGAGGUCUCCGGGAGAAGCCGCCUCUGGAGGUCCAGCAGAGGGACAGGAAUUGACCUGAGACCCUGGAUCUGGAGCUUCGAAGGUCAGCGGUGACCGUCGAGACCAGCUCUGGGGGCAGAAGGGCCCAGAACACUGUGUACGGGAACGUCUCCUGGAGGAGAGCCCCCCCUGAAGCCGGGAGAGCCAGCAUUUAGGGCCCAGAACACUGUGUACGGGAACGUCUCCUGGAGGAGCCCCCCCCUGAAGCCAGGAGAGCCAGCAUUUGCUACGGGUCAGCAGGUGUCUGUUGCACGUUGGAGAUGGCAGUUUGCAAAGGCAGGGCAUGUCCUUCCUUAGGUAGCAGCUUAGCAUCCAGGUAAGCCCGGGCUGCCUGGGACCGAGGCAGGGUGAUUUCCAACGAUGCCGAGAAAUUAAAACACACUUAAAAGGCAAUGCACAAUAGUCGUUAAUUUAUAAUAUGUUUACUUACCAGGAGGAUUCCCAGUUAGGAGCCAGAAACUCAAAGCUGUGGUAUCCGCGUGGGGGGCAUUUCGCUGUGUUUUAUUACCUUUUGUACUUGGUAAUCGCCGUUUUUGCUGACCGUCUCCCACACCCUCUGCAUGGUCGCAGCGUUGGGCCCCUUCUCAGCAGGGCUGAGCCUUUCUGGGCAUUAAAGUCCCUCUGGGAUGGAUUGACCCGGCGGUGAUUGAGCCUUCGGUGCUUCAGGAGAGCUUGAUGUCCAAAGCCCUCUUGGGCAGCAUUUCUUCGCUUUUCAUCUCUUUAGUGGCCGUUUAAUGAACUCCCUAAUUAUAUUUUGUCCACUGUAGGUUUGCGUUCGUCAAAACUGAUGAAUGAAAAAGGGCAAGGGCUCCUGCUGCCCAGGGCCUGUUGAUAACUAAUUUACCGACGCGGUUUUCCGUCCUCACUGCCUGUCCCAUCGUCACCUCUCCGGGCUCAGAACGGGGCCCCUGCUCAGCAGCUCGGGCGGCUUCCAAGUCUCUCCUAAAUUUACUGCUGAGUUUUCAAAAGGCUUAUUCCCCACUUGUGGGGAAUCUUGGAGGCCCAUCUGAGCCGAGCUCAGACGUAGGGAACAGACGUAGAUGAUGAGUGCCUUGCGGUCAGCUCUGGGACCGGCUGGGGACCGGACGGCUCGCCUCCAACGGAUACUUUCAAACACCAGAAGUGUUUGGCGCUGCCCUUGAAGAGUUCAGAAGUCUGGAAUCACCACUACGCAGGUGAGCCCUGUGUCGUUGAAGGAAACUGUUUACCACUUCUAUUAGCUUACCAGGCUGCCGUAAGGAAGUACCACAAUCGCACGGCUGAAAUUUAUUCUCUCAGAGUUCUGGAGGCCAACGCCAAGAUCGAGGUGUCGGCAGGGCCGUACUCCCUCUGAAAUCUGCAGGGAGGAUCCUUCCUGCCUCUUGCAGCUUCUGGGGGCUGUCCGCCAUCCUUGGUGUUCCUGGGCUUGUAGACACGUCACCCCAGUCUCUCCUCUGCUCUCACAUGGCUUCUCCCUCUGUGUCCCCACAUCAUCUUCCCUCUGUGUGUCUGUCUCGAUGUCUCUUUUCCUCUUCUUGUGCAGACACCAGUCAUACGGGAUUAGGACCCACCUUAAUGACCUCAUCUUAACUUGAUUACAUCUACAAAGACUCCAUUUCGGAAUGCGGUCACAUUCACGGUUACUGGGAGUUCAGACUUCACUUCGGAUCUUUUGGGGACACGAGUCAACCCUCAGCGGCAUCCUAGCCUCAUUCUUGCGUGUUUGUGGGGUGUGUUUCAGUGAGUCACUCUUUUUCUUAGUUCAGGGCUUGACCCUGUGCCCUGAGUUCAUCUGACUGACGCUGCCGCGUAGUGGGUUUGCUUGGUGCAUCCAAUGACCCAGAUCUGGGGCCACGUGUGAUGGUCUGUCCGUCGUGUGUGGCUGCCAUAGUUGGGAACCAUCGGCUAUAGGAAAUUUUCUGCAAGUCAGGGAAGAGCACCAGCUCUGGAUUCCGAGCCCUGCCCCCUCCCCUUAGCUCCGCGGCCUUGGAGAGGCGACUCCCCAGUCCAGGUCUCGUCUCUUCUGUAACAGUAGGGGGUGGAACCCGAAUACUCGCGGGUCAGUUCCAGCUCUGUAGCCACCACGUCUGCACGUCUGGGAGAAGAUGAUUCCUUUCCUAAAUUCUCUUCGCUUAAGAGUUACUGUUUUUAACCCAUAUGUUGGUUCAGAGAGUCAGAUAAUCAAAUUUGAAUGUUUUCUCAGUUCUUUACCUUGAAAAAUCUAUUUUCCCAAGAAGCCAAGAUGACGCCCUUUCUAAUCAGGUUUUCCAAACCAUUAAUUAAUUCAUUAAAGAGAUCAGCUGAGGUCCCUAAUGCCCAUCAGGAGGCGAAAAGAACAUGCGUUUCCUUGCUCGUGGUUGUGCAACCAGCCAAGCGGAGCGUGCAGCGCGGCUGGGUUGAGGGAAAUGCCGGGGCCAGUGGUAAGAAGGGCAGCACAGAUGCCGUGGAUGUGAGGCCAGAUGCUCCGCCGGUUGUGACAACAGCAGCGCCAGCCCCUGGCAGCACCGGCAGGCCCCGCGGGAGCCCUCGGUGGGCGGUGCGCAAACAGGCUGGGGUAUCUGCACGUCCAGGGCAACGGCAGCGGACGGGGGCUGUCUCCGCACAAGUAGCCCCACCGCUCAGGGAGCCUGUGUGGAGCUGCCAAUUUCACACCAUCUCUGUCUCUUUCCUUGAAGCAGAGGACCUGAUUCCUAGAAGUCCUGUCAGGCGUGGUCUCUGGUCUCUGCCCAUCCCCUCCCGCCCCUGUCGGCUGCAGACCUCAGCCCACGGUGCCUGACCUUCUGCAGCACUGAGGUGGGGAGAGAACCCGGGCACGUCUGGUGAUGUUGAAGGUGGAGGAGGGAGGAUGUCUUUCAACUUGCAGCCUGGCUGUCAGAUCCAGGUUUCUUUCUGCUUGCGCGUCUAGGAGGACUUCUUUUACAGAAAAUAUUUUAGGAGUGUUGUCAGAAAACCCAGGACCGCUGUUCGGCUGCAUGGUUUGGGCCAAAGUUUCUUAAAAUUAAAUAAUGUAUAAACCCCUUUUGAAAGACCUCCUGUUUUGACCUGAUUGUUUAUUAUUCUAUUAUAU